RNAcentral lists this ribosomal RNA (253 nucleotides) under uncultured bacterium. Its description in RNAcentral is "partial 16S ribosomal RNA". It matches the Rfam family "Bacterial small subunit ribosomal RNA", at positions 524 to 776 of the family's 1533-position model. The record is from RNAcentral.
GACGAACCGAGCGAACGUUAUUCGGAAUCACUGGGCUUAAAGGGCGCGUAGGCGGGCCAUCAAGUCGAGGGUGAAAGCCCCCAGCUCAACUGGGGAAGUGCCUCCGAUACUGGUGGUCUCGAGGGAGAUAGGGGCGUGCGGAACUUCCGGUGGAGCGGUGAAAUGCGUAGAUAUCGGAAGGAACACCGGUGGCGAAAGCGGCGCGCUGGAUCUCUUCUGACGCUGAGGCGCGAAAGCCAGGGGAGCGAACGGG